UCUGGCGGCUUUAGCGCGGUGGUCCCACCUGACCCCAUGCCGAACUCAGAAGUGAAACGCCGUAGCGCCGAUGGUAGUGUGGGGUCUCCCCAUGUGAGAGUAGG
This 104-nucleotide ribosomal RNA is filed under the name Enterobacter hormaechei. The record is from RNAcentral. Lineage: Bacteria; Pseudomonadati; Pseudomonadota; Gammaproteobacteria; Enterobacterales; Enterobacteriaceae. RNAcentral also lists the same sequence under 2 other names.